AGAGGAAGCAUCCAAAGGGAUCGCAUUGAUCCCAACUUAUAUAUUUACAAUUUUCUUCUAGAUAAUUUUGGAUCAUGCUAUCCCUUCGGAUUCCUCCUU
Non-coding RNA from Cucumis sativus (cucumber), 99 nucleotides. The record is from Rfam. NCBI's taxonomy places the organism in Eukaryota, Viridiplantae, Streptophyta, Magnoliopsida, Cucurbitales, Cucurbitaceae.